AACGAACGCUGGCGGCAUGCCUAACACAUGCAAGUCGAACGAGACCUUCGGGUCUAGUGGCGCACGGGUGCGUAACGCGUGGGAACCUGCCCUUAGGUUCGGAAUAACUCCCCGAAAGGGGUGCUAAUUCCGGAUAAUGUCUUCGGACCAAAGAUUUAUCGCCUUUGGAUGGGCCCGCGUUGGAUUAGCUAGUUGGUAGGGUAAAAGCCUACCAAGGCGACGAUCCAUAGCUGGUCUGAGAGGAUGGUCAGCCACACUGGGACUGAGACACGGCCCAGACUCCUACGGGAGGCAGCAGUGGGGAAUAUUGGACAAUGGGCGAAAGCCUGAUCCAGCAAUGCCGCGUGAGUGAUGAAGGCCUUAGGGUUGUAAAGCUCUUUUACCCGGGAUGAUAAUGACAGUACCGGGAGAAUAAGCUCCGGCUAACUCCGUG
RNAcentral lists this ribosomal RNA (433 nucleotides) under uncultured bacterium. RNAcentral's name for it is "partial 16S ribosomal RNA". It matches the Rfam family "Bacterial small subunit ribosomal RNA", at positions 29 to 507 of the family's 1533-position model. The record is from RNAcentral.